Molecule: ribosomal RNA, 1563 nt
Filed under: Triticum aestivum (bread wheat)
Lineage: Eukaryota; Viridiplantae; Streptophyta; Magnoliopsida; Poales; Poaceae
Description: partial small subunit ribosomal RNA
Source: RNAcentral
UGCCUUAAGCAAGGACGCGUGGCCUGUGGUUUGGUUAACCGUGGCGGCGGAAGCAGAGCUCUCGAAGCAAGCCAUCUCACAGCUGGCUAGAUCGCUACCUCACGGAACGGCUCUACGGCGUGCGCGGCGAGCUGGCGGCGGGCGCGUUCGCGGUCGCGGAACCGACCCUACAGCCGGGGCUCUAGGGAGUCGAUUUUUUUGACACACCCCUUCUUCAGCGUUUACACUAAUCACGAUACUGUUACCCCGAUAGAAGGCCACCAUAACAAAAGAGGGUCCUCUGGGUUCCCGAAAAAGCAAAACGCUGGGGAGGAGACUCUCUUCUACUGUUCCUACCUGUAAUACAAAAACGACACCCUCUGUUGGAGUGUAGUGCGAUAUCCUAAUUACGUUUUUACCCACUUCCAUGGAAACCAGUCCACAACCUUACAACCCUGUCCCUUGCCUUUCUUUACCAACGAUAAUUCUAGUAGUCUCCUUAAUUCUUCAUGUCCCUACGACGUUACUAUCUUUAACCGUACGAGCUCGUCGAAACAUUUAUACUUUUUUCGUCUAGGUCAACACAAGUUUAAGCCUUGACCAAACUGAUAGCAUUGGUAUAGACAUAACAGACACUCUUCGAACCCGGUUCGAAUAUACUAAAAGACGCCUUUUUGUCAAUGGCGAGUAAGGGUCAACGGUAUCAAGCCCUCCAACGGUUUGUUGACAACCUUACAGAUCGUACAAAGUAGGGCAAGUGGCUUCCUCCCUAGGAUGAUGUUUGCACACGGGUUCAGGUCAAGUUAUUUCCAAUAACUAAAACCGUCGUGUUGUAUACUAGUCGUCCUGGUCUGGAUACAUCAAAGAUGAUCCGUAAUAGCCCGAGGCCUUCAAUAGGACCCUGAACCUACCUCAAUGGGUACACUAUAGACCUCGCAACCCACAUAUGAUCAACUUGAGACGUGCCCUCUCCGCGACAAAGUUUGGGUACUUUUAAACCUCGUAGAACGAUACUACCUCUCCCACGAACCCGGCAACGGUAUAGUGUACGAGUUCUUCCGACUAGCUGUACCACUCUUUAUACACUCCUUCCCGGCAAAUUUGACCGGACUUCCUACACGGAGUGCCCUUUCGUACUUUCGACAGUACUUCGACGGAGCCGAAGUCUUAGACCACUACGUUUUGCAACUCGUAAGACGACCCCUGAAGUAGUUAGAAAACGUUCCCGACGACUCAAUACUAGGUCGUUCGGCGGAUUGCCGGGUCCUCCGGGAACUCGUAGGUAAGAACUGCCUCGCCUCACUCGCUUCUUCUACUACACGGGUUCUAGGAUCGUUUGAACAUUGGACAUACAAACUCGGCACUGAAGGUAAACAGCACAAGUACCUUACCGUCUCUAAGGUAAGAGAGAAGGUACCUUACCUUCUUUAUUAAUUUAUCUAUCCUAAAAUCGUCAUCGAAAAGAGCAACGUAACGAACACAUUGCACGAGUAAUAGACAUGUAUACAACUGAAUACACAUACAUUGGCCCUACUCUAAGAGAGUUACUUAUAUAAAACUACCGUUGUGAUUAAAACAACCUUU